CAUAUCCAAAUAUGAUAGCUGGGUUUAAAGUUGGGUUAUUAAUUAAUCGUACAUCUCCUCCACCAGGAGCCCAUGUGUCAUAUACUCCACCGAAAAAUAAAGCUUUAAUCACAAGUAAAAACGACCCUAUGCCUAGUAAUACAAGAUGUAUACCAAGAAUUGUUGUCAUUUUAUUUUUAUCUCUCCA
RNAcentral lists this antisense RNA (187 nucleotides) under Gracilaria tenuistipitata var. liui. RNAcentral describes it as "Antisense RNA which regulates isiA expression". It matches the Rfam family "Antisense RNA which regulates isiA expression". The record is from Rfam by way of RNAcentral. Lineage: Eukaryota; Rhodophyta; Florideophyceae; Gracilariales; Gracilariaceae.